Homo sapiens (human) is the source of this 1606-nucleotide long non-coding RNA. The record is from Ensembl. NCBI's taxonomy places the organism in Eukaryota, Metazoa, Chordata, Mammalia, Primates, Hominidae.
UACGCUGGCUGCUACCUCCCUCACUCUUGUCAGAGUCGGAGCUACAGGCAGUGCCUUCAGCUCUGAGCUCAGGCAUCCCGGUCCCUGUUUUUGCGGUUAAGGACUCUAAAGUGUUGUGUCGUGUUCAUCAACUUUUUCUCAACCUCCCUGGCUCUACCUCUUCUGCCACAAACGUCAGCAUGGUGGUAUCUGCCGACCCUUUGUCCAGCGAGAGGGCAGAGAUGAACAUCCUAGAAAUCAACCAGGAAUUGCGCUCGCAGCUGGCAGAGAGCAAUCAGCAGUUCCGAGACCUCAAAGAGAAGUUCCUUAUAACUCAAGCUACUGCCUACUCCCUGGCCAACCAGCUGAAGAAAUACAAGUGUGAAGAGUACAAAGACAUCAUAGACUCUGUGCUGAGGGAUGAACUGCAGUCCAUGGAGAAGCUGGCAGAGAAGCUCAGGCAAGCUGAGGAGCUCAGGCAGUAUAAAGCCCUGGUUCACUCUCAGGCAAAAGAGCUGACCCAGUUACGGGAGAAGUUACGGGAAGGGAGAGAUGCCUCCCGCUGGCUGAACAAGCAUCUGAAAACCCUCCUCACUCCUGAUGACCCUGACAAGUCCCAGGGUCAGGACCUCCGAGAGCAGCUGGCUGAGGGGCACAGGCUGGCAGAGCACCUUGUUCACAAGCUGAGCCCAGAAAAUGAUGAAGAUGAAGAUGAGGAUGAAGACGACAAAGACGAGGAGGUUGAGAAAGUACAGGAAUCACCUGCCCCCAGAGAGGUGCAGAAGACUGAAGAAAAGGAAGUCCCUCAGGACUCACUGGAGGAAUGUGCUGUCACUUGUUCAAAUAGUCACAACCCUUCUAACUCCAACCAGCCUCACAGGAGCACCAAAAUCACAUUUAAGGAACACGAAGUCGACUCUGCUCUGGUUGUAGAGAGUGAACACCCUCAUGAUGAAGAGGAGGAAGCUCUAAACAUUCCCCCAGAAAAUCAAAAUGACCAUGAGGAGGAGGAGGGGAAAGCGCCAGUGCCCCCCAGACACCAUGACAAGUCCAACUCUUACCGGCAUCGUGAAGUCUCUUUCUUGGCAUUGGAUGAACAGAAAGUUUGCUCCGCUCAGGAUGUUGCCAGGGAUUACUCCAAUCCCAAAUGGGAUGAAACCUCACUUGGCUUCCUCGACACACCCUUGGCCAGAAGAGAAUCUGUUGCCUUGAAGGGUAGGACUCGGUCCUGGCAGCAUUCAUCACAUGCUAACUGAAGAACCCCUAGGCCCUGAAUAACCAGUAGUGAUACCCAAGAACUAUGUCAAGAGCCUUAGGAUCCCAGCUGAAAUGGCACAUUCUAUUUGUCAUCACAUCUCCUUAGGCUCCUCUUGGCUAUGAUAGUUUCUCUUUCCCUGUUUUUGAUAACCUUGAUAGCUUCAAGGAGUGCUGAUCAGGUAAUUGGCAGAAUGCCCCUCUAGUGGAAUUUAUUCCAUAUUGCUUUUUAAUUAUUUACUUGUAUGUAUUUCUCCCAUAUUUUCCUAUGAUGUUUUGAAGGGAAAGACCAAGUCAUCUGUGUAUCUCCAACACUUAGCAUUCAAUAAAUAUCUGUUGAGUGAAUAAAUAAAUGGGUGAAAAGUGAAUAAAA